This 492-nucleotide ribosomal RNA is filed under the name uncultured bacterium. Its description in RNAcentral is "partial 16S ribosomal RNA". It matches the Rfam family "Bacterial small subunit ribosomal RNA", at positions 29 to 507 of the family's 1533-position model. The record is from RNAcentral.
AGUGAACGCUGGCGGUAGACCUAACACAUGCAAGUCGAACGGCAGCACAGUAAGAGCUUGCUCUUACGGGUGGCGAGUGGCGGACGGGUGAGGAAUACAUCGGAAUCUACUUUUUCGUGGGGGAUAACGUAGGGAAACUUACGCUAAUACCGCAUACGACCUACGGGUGAAAGCAGGGGAUCUUCGGACCUUGCGCGAUUGAAUGAGCCGAUGUCGGAUUAGCUAGUUGGCGGGGUAAAGGCCCACCAAGGCGACGAUCCGUAGCUGGUCUGAGAGGAUGAUCAGCCACAAUGGAACUGAGACAAGGUCCAGACUCCCACGGGAGGCAGCAGUGGGGAAUAUUGGACAAUGGGCGGAAGCCUGAUCCAGGCAUACCGCGUGGGUGAAGAAGGCCUUCGGGUUGUAAAGCCCUUUUGUUUGGAAAGAAAAGCAGCAGGUUAAUACCCCGCUGUUCUGACGGUACCCAAAGAAUAAGCACCGGCUAACUUCGUG